Molecule: unclassified non-coding RNA, 168 nt
Filed under: uncultured Dermateaceae
Lineage: Eukaryota; Fungi; Ascomycota; Leotiomycetes; Helotiales; Dermateaceae
Description: sequence contains ITS1
Source: RNAcentral
CAGAGUUCAUGCCCUUCGGGGUAGACCUCCCACCCUUGUGUAUUUAUACCUUUGUUGCUUUGGCAGGCCGUCGGGCUCGUCCCGGCUACCGGCUUCGGCUGGUGCGUGCCUGCCAGAGGACCCCAAACUCUGUGUUUAGUGUUGUCUGAGUACUAAGUUAAUACGUUA